This 367-nucleotide ribosomal RNA is filed under the name uncultured Alphaproteobacteria bacterium. RNAcentral describes it as "bacterial SSU rRNA". It matches the Rfam family "Bacterial small subunit ribosomal RNA", at positions 343 to 726 of the family's 1533-position model. The record is from RNAcentral. Lineage: Bacteria; Pseudomonadati; Pseudomonadota; Alphaproteobacteria.
GAUCUGCAGCAGUGGGGAAUAUUGGACAAUGGGGGCAACCCCUGAUCCAGCGAUGCCGCGUGAGUGAUGAAGGCCUUAGGGUUGUAAAACUCUUUCAGAUGGGAAGAUAAUGACGGUACCAUCAGAAGAAGCUCCGGCUAACUCCGUGCCAGCAGCCGCGGUAAUACGGAGGGAGCUAGCGUUGUUCGGAAUUACUGGGCGUAAAGCGCGCGUAGGCGGCUUGGCAAGUUGGGGGUGAAAUCCCGGGGCUUAACCUCGGAACUGCCUCCAAAACUGCUAAGCUAGAAUCCUGGAGAGGUGAGUGGAAUUCCUAGUGUAGAGGUGAAAUUCGUAGAUAUUAGGAAGAACACCAGUGGCGAAGGCGGCA